GGAUGCGAUCAUAGCAGCACUAAAGCACCGGACCCCAUCAGAACUCCGAAGUUAAGCGUGCUUGGGCGAGAGUAGUACUUGGAUGGGUGACCUCUUGGCAAGUCCUCGUGUUGCAUUCC
This 119-nucleotide ribosomal RNA is filed under the name Aegilops tauschii subsp. strangulata. Lineage: Eukaryota; Viridiplantae; Streptophyta; Magnoliopsida; Poales; Poaceae. The record is from RNAcentral.